GGAAUGGGGAUUGCGUUCCGAUUAAGGUGUCGCGGGUUAACGGGCCCAACCGAGCCUUCGAAUCGGUAGGGGUCUGAGAAGGAAGGUCCCCCACACUGGAACUGAGACACGGUCCAGACUCCUAACGGGAGGCAGCAGUGAGGAAUAUUGGUCAAUGGGCGAGAGCCUGAACCAGCCAAGUAGCGUGAGGGAAGACUGCCCUAUGGGUUGUAAACCUCUUUAGUCUGGGAAUAAAGUGGCGACGUGUCGCCUUUUGUAGGUACCAGAAGAAUAAGGACCGGCUAAUUCCGUGCCAGCAGCCGCGGUAAUACGGAAGGUCCGGGCGUUAUCCGGAUUUAUUGGGUUUAAAGGGAGCGCAGGCGGCCUGUUAAGCGGGCAGUUAAAGGCGGUGGCUCAACCGUCGUUAGCUGUCCGAACUGAUAGGCUUGAGUACGUGCGAGGUAUGCGGAAUUCGUGGUGUAGCGGUGAAAUGCUUAGAUAUCACGAAGAACCCCGAUUGCGAAGGCAGCAUACCAGUGCGCCACUGACGCUAAAGCUCGAAAGCGCGGGUAUCGAACAGGAUUAGAUACCCUGGUAGUCCGCGCGGUAAACGAUGGAUGCCCGCUGUGCGGCCUUUUAUGGUUGCGCGGCCAAGCGAAAGCGUUAAGCAUCCCACCUGGGGAGUACGCCGGCAACGGUGAAACUCAAAGGAAUUGACGGGGGCCCGCACAAGCGGAGGAACAUGUGGUUUAAUUCGAUGAUACGCGAGGAACCUUACCCGGGCUUGAAUUGCAGCUGCAUGGGGCAGAGAUGUCCCUUCCCUUCGGGGCUGCUGUGAAGGUGCUGCAUGGUUGUCGUCAGCUCGUGCCGUGAGGUGUCGGCUUAAGUGCCAUAACGAGCGCAACCCCCCUCCCCGGUUGCCAUCGGGUAAUGCCGGGCACUCCGAGGACACUGCCACCGCAAGGUGUGAGGAAGGUGGGGAUGACGUCAAAUCAGCACGGCCCUUACGUCCGGGGCUACACACGUGUUACAAUGGCAGGCACAGAGAGCUGGCGCGUCGCAAGACGCGUCGAAUCCUAAAAUCCUGCCUCAGUUCGGACUGGGGUCUGCAACCCGACCCCACGAAGCUGGAUUCGCUAGUAAUCGCGCAUCAGCCAUGGCGCGGUGAAUACGUUCCCGGGCCUUGUACACACCGCCCAUCAAGCCAUGAAAGCCGGGGGCGCCUGAAGUCCGUGACCGCAAG
Molecule: ribosomal RNA, 1222 nt
Filed under: uncultured bacterium
Lineage: Bacteria
Description: bacterial SSU rRNA
Rfam family: Bacterial small subunit ribosomal RNA
Source: RNAcentral